UCCUCUGUUUUGCACUACUUGCCCGCACCGUGUCUUCUCUUUCGUGUUUUCUCUGCAUACCAUCUUGGCGUUUCGCUGUGUCUUACCCUUUUGCUCGUGUUGGGUUUCGGUCGUUUCUGUACUCGUUGGUCCUGGUUUUUUUUUUUGAAUCGCGAUCUCUGUUUCUUGAACUCGAGUGCUGUGUUUUUGUGGAUCGCGGCGUACUUGUGGGCUGUAGUAUGGUUAUUCGAGUUUUUGAUUCCUGAUAUUUGCAUUCGUUUUUCCGUGCAAAUCCGCUCGGACAAAAGAAGGGUGUUCUUGUUCUAUUUGGUUCGGGUUGAUUUCUCCAUCUUCUCGAAGUUCCUGAUCUUGGGCAUGUUGUUUUGUUAUAUUUGCACUCUAAGCUCCUUUUGUUCAUGAAUAUGGCUUCUUGUGUCUUAAAAUGCAUUAGUUUUGUGUUCUUUGGACCUUUUUCCCACUGGAUUUGAAAAGGGAGAAUCAUUUUUUGCUUCGGUGUUGCCCUUGAUUGGCUGACUGUUUGUUCUUUUAGCCGCCAGAACAGAGCAAUCCUUGGGGUUGCUCUGCUCAUGGGGUUUCCUCUGUGACCUCUCUCUUUUUUCCCCUUUUAAACGGAUUUGUGCCGAAA
Syzygium oleosum is the source of this 625-nucleotide long non-coding RNA. RefSeq lists it as uncharacterized. NCBI's taxonomy places the organism in Eukaryota, Viridiplantae, Streptophyta, Magnoliopsida, Myrtales, Myrtaceae. The transcript has 2 exons. The record is from RefSeq and is a predicted model, not a curated record.